GUCCAGAACCGGCUGCGGAACCACCAGAACCGGCCAGAAAAGCACCGAACCGGCCACCGAAAUCUCUGAACCUGUCUAGUUAGCCUCGCUUGCCUGCACGCGCGCCCCUGCGUCUCCUGCCAAGCAUGUUAGCCUCACUUCAGGUCCUGGUUAGCCUCGCUCUACACACGCCCCUGCGUUAGCCUCGCCUCUGCCCAGCGCUAGCCUCGCUCCGCAUCUGCGUUGUUAGCCUUGCUGACCCUUACUGCCUACCCCGCGCACGCCUCGACCUACACGCCAGCACCCCGCGCACACCUGUUCAGCAGAUUAGCCUCACUCGCCAAGGCCCUCGCGCAGCCCUCGCACACCCCAUCGACAGCCCGCCUGCACGCACAGCCUCAGCGUCCCCUACACGCACCCCUGCAACACCCUAGGUGCCCCCUGCAUAGCAGCCUCUGCUUUCUGUUAGCCUCUCUAUCAGCAACCUCCAGCCAAGUUCCGGCCAGCAACUAGUCACUGCCGGCCACUGGCAACUUUUUUCGGUCAGAUUCCAGCAACCCUAUUUCGAGAAAGAAAAAGACCCAAGAAGAACAAGAAUAUUAAAAUGAGAUUCAGAAUAUCAGUAUAUGCAAAAGAGGAAGAGAAGGAGGAGGAGGGUCACAAAACGAUGGCGUUUGAGGCGGAGAGACCCGACCCGAGAAGCCCAUUACAGCCGUUGAAAUUGAACAGAAGGUCGACAAGUUGAUCGCUAUGAAAUUGGGCUCCCCUAAAGAGUCCAUAUUGAAGCCGAGUUCGCUGGUCUGCAAGCGGUGGCUGAGCUUCCGAUCCGGAAGGCGAUCGGAGCCGUCCAGGACUCGACGAGCAAGCGUGCGUGUCGGCGGUGUCAAAGCGACUGGGGAAGAUGCGCGAUUGGAUCAUAGCGCUCAAGGCGUUGAUGCUGGUGCACCGCCUCAUGAACGACGGCAACCCGUAUUCCAAGACGAGAGGAUUGAUUUGAUGCUUUUGGAGAGGAAGAGUGGUAGUGGUACUAGUCCGGCCAGGGACCAGGCGUCUAAUUCUAGAGACAGCGACGGUCUAGAUCUUAUGACUAUGAUAAUGGAGGGGGAAUGAGGAGCUCAAGGUCUUAUGGAGACGUGAGUGAGUCUAUGGAAUCGGGGGGAGAGAGAGAGAGAUAGGAGAAAAAAAAAGAGGAAGUGAGGGGUAAAAUAGUCAUUUUAGACCACAUUGUGUGAUAUUUGAAUGUCUGAGAAAUAAUUUGUUAAAAUUAGGAUAGUAGGGAAUGAACUGUUGACGCCUUAAAGUACAGGGAGUGGCCAGUAAUUUUCUCUAUUUUUUACUAAAAGUUCCUGCUUUCAAGUACUUUUAAUUCCUUUCUUUUCUCGGGGACUUUCAACCUCCUUUCUUCUUUUGUGGGGAGACUUAAGCCGAACUGUGGGGGUUCAUGCUAUCUCCAAGCUUGGAACUUGUUGAGAUCUCUAAACUUAGAGUUUGUAGAGAAUUUAUGAUCGACCACUUACAUCAUUGUUUCGAUCUAAUCCAAUACCUCUUAAAAUAAUUUUUGGGAGCGUCUACGCUCAUAAAUUCCUAAUUUCUUGGGAGCGAUUACACUUAGAAA
Long non-coding RNA from Rosa rugosa (rugosa rose), 1594 nucleotides. RefSeq lists it as uncharacterized. The transcript is spliced from 2 exons. NCBI's taxonomy places the organism in Eukaryota, Viridiplantae, Streptophyta, Magnoliopsida, Rosales, Rosaceae. The record is from RefSeq and is a predicted model, not a curated record.